CCUACGGGCGGCAGCAGUGGGGAAUAUUGGACAAUGGGCGAAAGCCUGAUCCAGCCAUGCCGCGUGUGUGAAGAAGGCCUUCGGGUUGUAAAGCACUUUCAGUGGAGAAGAAAGCCUUGGGGCUAAUACCCUCGAGGAAGGACAUCACCCACAGAAGAAGCACCGGCUAACUCCGUGCCAGCAGCCGCGGUAAUACGGAGGGUGCGAGCGUUAAUCGGAAUUACUGGGCGUAAAGCGCGCGUAGGCGGUCUGAUAAGCCGGUUGUGAAAGCCCCGGGCUCAACCUGGGAACGGCAUCCGGAACUGUCAGGCUAGAGUGCAGGAGAGGAAGGUAGAAUUCCCGGUGUAGCGGUGAAAUGCGUAGAGAUCGGGAGGAAUACCAGUGGCGAAGGCGGCCUUCUGGACUGACACUGACGCUGAGGUGCGAAAGCGUGGGUAGCAAACAGGAUUAGAUACCCUUGUAGUC
RNAcentral lists this ribosomal RNA (465 nucleotides) under Vreelandella stevensii. RNAcentral describes it as "partial 16S ribosomal RNA". It matches the Rfam family "Bacterial small subunit ribosomal RNA", at positions 338 to 795 of the family's 1533-position model. Lineage: Bacteria; Pseudomonadati; Pseudomonadota; Gammaproteobacteria; Oceanospirillales; Halomonadaceae. The record is from RNAcentral.